GUGCUCACUUUGAUAGCACAUAAACUAAAACUGGAAUGAUCCGGAGAAGAUUAACAUGGUACAUGUCCACGGAUGACAUGCAAGUUCAUAGUGGUUCACAGUUUUCUA
This is a small nuclear RNA of Peromyscus maniculatus bairdii (prairie deer mouse), 108 nucleotides long. The record is from Ensembl. NCBI's taxonomy places the organism in Eukaryota, Metazoa, Chordata, Mammalia, Rodentia, Cricetidae.